This 507-nucleotide ribosomal RNA is filed under the name Triticum aestivum (bread wheat). Its description in RNAcentral is "partial small subunit ribosomal RNA". The record is from RNAcentral. Lineage: Eukaryota; Viridiplantae; Streptophyta; Magnoliopsida; Poales; Poaceae.
AUGAUAAGAGUUGCAGCUCCAUUAUUUCCUUGUUCUAAACUCUCAAAAGCACGUGAUGUCGUGGCAGCAGCAAUGGAGGUCUCCAAGGCCCCUUCCUCUUCUAGUUUGGCAACCCACCAGCCCUCCAAGCACAGUGCCAAUGCGGUGUGCUUCGACGUGGAUUGCACGGUAUGCUUGGAUGAGGGUAUUAAUGAGCUUGCUGAUUUCUGUGGGGCUGGGCAGGCGGUUGGCAAUGACAAGACCGUUCUAUUUGAAGAGGCUCUUCCUGCCUGGAUCUCUUUAAUUAAGUUAUCUCUGUCCCAAGUUGAGGAUUGUUUGGAGAAGAGGCCACCGAGGAUUUCUCGUGGAAAUGUUGAUUUUAUUAAUACAUUAAAAGCCAAUAAUACUAAAGUAUUCCUUGUGUCCGGAGGUUUCCGGCAAAUGAUCAAGUCUUUGGUGUUUGGUCUUGGGAUUCCUACUGAAAACAUCAUAGAAAACCAAUUGCUAUUUGGAUCAUCUGGCUUUUAA